Molecule: long non-coding RNA, 641 nt
Filed under: Homo sapiens (human)
Lineage: Eukaryota; Metazoa; Chordata; Mammalia; Primates; Hominidae
Description: non-protein coding lnc-LNPK-5:1
Source: RNAcentral
GACAUUCAGUUUACAAAAUCAUAAUUUCAAUCUGUUUUAAGUUUACUAUUUUGUAAUUGUGUGUUCUCAAUGUGUUGUUGAAUUCCUGAUUAAUGUAGUCACGGAGCUUAUUUCUGCUGUGUUCUCUCUAUAGUGGUGGUUGGACUUCUUGAAGUUUUGUGAUUUUGUUGAUCUUGGCUAUAUUUAGGCAAUCUGUCCACAAAGGCUUGAAUCCUCUUUGGAAGAGGAAUCUAUUUUCAGCCUUGGUUGCAGGGAUUCCACUUUCCUAACUCUUAGUUGCCUUUUGAGGAUGUGCCAUUUAACACUUUAUCUCCUGAAGUGCAUCUGCUUUCGGUUAUUUUUGAUCUUUCAGACAUCCAGCAUAAGUUCCAGGGCCAUAUCCUCCCCACCAGAUCAUCUGUAACCUGUUUGAUCCAAUCCUGGUUCUUCUUUCAGCCACUGGCCACUUACUCUAUGGUUCAAUCAGGAGAAUGGAGACAAGUUUUUUUGCUUUGAUUCUGUUUCCCUGCAAAGCCCUGAACAGUGCUUGUUCUGUCGGAAUCUGGCAAUUUGGAGUAGAAUCUUUUCUCAUGUAACACUGAUGCUGACAUUUACACAACGUACUUCUUUUCUUUCUUUUUUUUUUGAGAUGGAGUCUUGCU